UAAGUUUUCAUGUUAAAAAUUUCUGUUUGUUAAAUGAAUCAAAAAUAGAUUCAUUCUCUAUUUAUUGUGUCAAUGUUUGAGGAACACCAAGGACAUAGUCUGUUUUCCCAGUAGAAAUUAAAUAACUGUAUUUAGUCAUGUAUACUUACCUGAGAUUUGUCAUUUUAAUUUUUAUUUUUUAAGGAGCUGAUGCUACACACAUGGAUGGUGAUCAGAUUGUUGUGGAAGUACAAGAAGCAGUUUUUGUUUCUAAUAUUGUGGAUUCAGACAUAACUGUGCAUAACUUUGUUCCUGAUGACCCAGACUCAGUUGUAAUCCAAGAUGUUAUUGAAGAUGUUGUCAUAGAGGAGGAUGUUCAGUGCUCAGAUAUCUUAGAAGAGGCAGAUGUAUCUGAAAAUGUCAUCAUUCCUGAGCAAGUGGUGGACUCAGAUGUAACUGAAGAAGUUUCUUUACCACACUGCACAGUCCCAGAUGAUGUUUUAGCUUCUGACAUUACUUCAGCCUCAAUGUCUAUGCCAGAACAUGUUUUAACGAGUGAAUCCAUGCAUGUGUGUGACAUUGGACAUGUUGAACAUGUGGUCCAUGAUAGUGUAGUGGAAGCAGAAAUCAUUACUGAUCCUCUGACCAGUGACAUAGUUUCAGAAGAAGUGUUGGUAGCAGACUGUGCCCCUGAAGCAAUCAUAGAUGCCAGCGGGAUCUCAGUGGACCAGCAAGAUAAUGACAAAGCCAACUGUGAGGACUACCUAAUGAUUUCGUUGGAUGAUGCUGGCAAAAUAGAACAUGAUGGUUCCACUGGAGUGACCAUCGAUGGAGAAUCAGAAAUGGAUCCUUGUAAAGUGGAUGGCACUUGUCCUGAAGUCAUCAAGGUGGGACUGUAGACAUUGUGGAGAGUGAGCCUGAAAAUGAUCAUGGAGUUGAACUACUUGAUCAGAACAGCAGUAUUCGUGUUCCCAGGGAAAAGAUGGUUUAUAUGACUGUCAGUGACUCUCAACAAGAAGAUGAAGAUUUAAGUAUGUGGUUUUUUUUUUAAAAAAUUUUACUUUAAGUUCUGGGAUACAUGUGCUGAAUGUGCAGGUUUGUUACAUAGGUAUGCAUGUGCCAUGGUGGUUUGCUGCACCUAUCAACCCAUCUUCUAGGUUUUUAAGCCCACCAUCCAUUAGGUAUUUGUCUUAAUGCUCUCCCUUCCCUUGCACUCCACCCCACAACAGGCCCCAGUGUGUGAUGUUCCCCUCCUUGUGUCCAUGUGUCCUCAUUGUUUAACUCCCACUUAUGAGUGAGAACAUGUGGUGUUUGGUUUUCUAUUCUUGUGUUAAUUUGCUGAGGAUGGUGGUUUCCAGCUCUGUGGCUUUUUUUGUGGAAGAGGGUUUUAUCUUUCUAUAAAUAGUGUUUUUUGUUUUUGUUUUUUUGAGACAGAGUCUUAUUCUGUCGCCAGGCUGGAGUGCAGUGGCGCAAUCUCAGCUCACUGCAACUUCCACCUCCCAAGUUCCUGCCUCAGCCUCUCAAGUAGCUGAGACUACAGGCACGCACCACCACACCCAGCUAAUUUUUGUAUUUUUAGUAGAGAUGAGGGUUUCACCAUGUUGGCCAGGAUGGUCUCGAUCUCUUGACCUCAUGAUCCGCCCACCUUGGUCUCCCAAAGUGCUGGGAUUACAGGCAUGAGCCACUGUGCCCUGCCCAAGCUGGUUUUUUUUUUUUUUUUUUUUUUAAUGUAACCAAUAUUUGAAAAAAAAAGCAACACUGCUUUAGAGAUUACUAUAUUGCCAUAUUCCAAGGAAAUAUAUCAGUGACUAUGUAUGUUUUCAUUGUUGCUUUAUAAGCU
This is a long non-coding RNA of Rhinopithecus bieti (black snub-nosed monkey), 1819 nucleotides long. The record is from Ensembl. NCBI's taxonomy places the organism in Eukaryota, Metazoa, Chordata, Mammalia, Primates, Cercopithecidae.